AGUAACGCGUGGAUAACCUGCCUCACACUGGGGGAUAACAGUUAGAAAUGACUGCUAAUACCGCAUGAGCGCACAGUACCGCAUGGUACGGUGUGAAAAACUCCGGUGGUGUGAGAUGGAUCCGCGUCUGAUUAGCCAGUUGGCGGGGUAACGGCCCACCAAAGCGACGAUCAGUAGCCGACCUGAGAGGGUGACCGGCCACAUUGGGACUGAGACACGGUCCAG
This 225-nucleotide ribosomal RNA is filed under the name uncultured bacterium. RNAcentral describes it as "partial 16S ribosomal RNA". It matches the Rfam family "Bacterial small subunit ribosomal RNA", at positions 109 to 334 of the family's 1533-position model. The record is from RNAcentral.